UACGCAGGGGGCUAGCGUUGCUCGGAAUCACUGGGCGUAAAGGGUGCGUAGGCGGGUCUUUAAGUCAGGGGUGAAAUCCUGGAGCUCAACUCCAGAACUGCCUUUGAUACUGAGGAUCUUGAGUUCGGGAGGGGUGAGUGGAACUGCGAGUGUAGAGGUGAAAUUCGUAGAUAUUCGCAAGAACACCAGUGGCGAAGGCGGCUCACUGGCCCGGUACUGACGCUGAGGCACGAAAGCGUGGGGAGCAAACAGG
This 253-nucleotide ribosomal RNA is filed under the name uncultured bacterium. RNAcentral's name for it is "partial 16S ribosomal RNA". It matches the Rfam family "Bacterial small subunit ribosomal RNA", at positions 524 to 776 of the family's 1533-position model. The record is from RNAcentral.